GGCGAGCGGCGGACGGGUGAGUAAUGUCUGGGGAUCUGCCCGAUGGAGGGGGAUAACCACUGGAAACGGUGGCUAAUACCGCAUAACGUCGCAAGACCAAAGUGGGGGACCUUCGGGCCUCACACCAUCGGAUGAACCCAGAUGGGAUUAGCUAGUAGGUGGGGUAAUGGCUCACCUAGGCGACGAUCCCUAGCUGGUCUGAGAGGAUGACCAGCCACACUGGAACUGAGACACGGUCCAGACUCCUACGGGAGGCAGCAGUGGGGAAUAUUGCACAAUGGGCGCAAGCCUGAUGCAGCCAUGCCGCGUGUGUGAAGAAGGCCUUCGGGUUGUAAAGCACUUUCAGCGAGGAGGAAGGUGGUGAGCUUAAUACGUUCAUCAAUUGACGUUACUCGCAGAAGAAGCACCGGCUAACUCCGUGCCAGCAGCCGCGGUAAUACGGAGGGUGCAAGCGUUAAUCGGA
This 463-nucleotide ribosomal RNA is filed under the name Serratia marcescens. RNAcentral describes it as "bacterial SSU rRNA". It matches the Rfam family "Bacterial small subunit ribosomal RNA", at positions 90 to 549 of the family's 1533-position model. The record is from RNAcentral. Lineage: Bacteria; Pseudomonadati; Pseudomonadota; Gammaproteobacteria; Enterobacterales; Yersiniaceae.